This is a long non-coding RNA of Dreissena polymorpha, 460 nucleotides long. RefSeq lists it as uncharacterized. The transcript is spliced from 3 exons. Lineage: Eukaryota; Metazoa; Mollusca; Bivalvia; Myida; Dreissenidae. The record is from RefSeq and is a predicted model, not a curated record.
UAUGUUGACAAUGGACAAAAUGAAGAAUGAAUAUAUAUACGUUAUGACUAUGACGGGACGUCAUUUUCAAAGGGGGGAAAUGUGUAACCGGUUUAACUUUAACUAGUUGGGUGUAACCCCUAAUAGAUUAUAAUGAGGGUAUAUAAGCAAGCGUAUCAUUCAGCACGAUUUGCGGGAAAGCAGUCAUCCAUAUUGGUUGAAGCAGUUGUUCUUCACUUGUAUUCUGUUUUCUAUAAAGUCACAGCACUGGGCAUCAUCUGCAGUCAAGACUGGGGUCAUAAGCUGUCAUAGGAGGCCAAUCCACAAUUGGGCUUUGACAACUUUGCGACGCCUUUGUGAUUUCUCUGAGACGCUUUAAAUAAUCUGUUUAUCGGUUAUUUCCAGAGAUUGUAUUACAAUUAUGUAAUCAUUAAAAGUUAUAGUGUUGAGGGAAAACUAAAUUAAAUGGACAUGUAAUGAA